RNAcentral lists this ribosomal RNA (475 nucleotides) under uncultured bacterium. RNAcentral describes it as "bacterial SSU rRNA". It matches the Rfam family "Bacterial small subunit ribosomal RNA", at positions 328 to 793 of the family's 1533-position model. The record is from RNAcentral.
CUCUGUGACUCCUACGGGAGGCAGCAGUGGGGAAUAUUGGACAAUGGGCGAAAGCCUGAUCCAGCCAUGCCGCGUGUGUGAAGAAGGUCUUCGGAUUGUAAAGCACUUUAAGUUGGGAGGAAGGGCAGUUACCUAAUACGUGAUUGUUUGACGUUACCGACAGAAUAAGCACCGGCUAACUCUGUGCCAGCAGCCGCGGUAAUACAGAGGGUGCAAGCGUUAAUCGGAAUUACUGGGCGUAAAGCGCGCGUAGGUGGUUAGUUAAGUUGGAUGUGAAAUCCCCCGGGCUCAACCUGGGAACUGCAUUCAAAACUGACUGACUAGAGUAUGGUAGAGGGUGGUGGAAUUUCCUGUGUAGCGGUGAAAUGCGUAGAUAUAGGAAGGAACACCAGUGGCGAAGGCGACCACCUGGACUGAUACUGACACUGAGGUGCGAAAGCGUGGGGAGCCAAACAGGAUUAGAUACCCCUGGUAG